AUUAAAAUGAACUACAACUUCCGUUUAAGAACCCAACAGCUUUUACGUCCACGUUGAAGAGUGUUAGGAUUAAACGGUUUCUGUUACAAAACAUAUGAAACGUUUUGCAACAUAAUCGGCGUAAUGAAUACACCCCCAGGUACUUGCGGUUGUGUUUGAAUGUGAGCUGUGACUGGGCCGUGUGAUCCCGGUCCAAAGACCAAUGUUAUGGCUCAAGAAUCUUCAUAAACUAUCAUUUUAGGAACUCUGUACGGCAAGCAUUGGGGGGGGCAACAAGAGCACCCACGUCUCGUAUGAAGAGGGCAUUAGGAGUUGACAGUUCUUCAAAGUCACCACAGAGAACUUCAAGAAGGACAAACACGACGUUUGCAACACCUUCAAGUGUGUUGACAUCAAGCCAGUGUGUGGUGACCAGCAGAGUCAGAUCCUGAAGUGCUUCAGGGAAAACAUAGGACAGACCCUCGCCUGCUCUGGCAUCGCCAACCUUUACAUGCAGUGUGUGGAUAACCACAAGGUCUCACACGUCUUUUAUCUCCUUCGCAGACAGACAGACAGACAGACAGACAGACAGACAGACAGACAGACAGACAGACAGACAUGUUCUUGUGAAAUUUGUAGUCUGCUCAUGUUCACGUUUUAUUUUUGUUAUUUUUAAACAUAUUUUCCUUCCCCUCACUCCAUCUUUACUUCCUCUGUUCACUCUCAUCCUUCAUAUUUUGAACAGCCAUUUUAGUCAAGCCCUUUCUCCUCUUUGCUUUUCAGACUAAGUGCACUGGAGGGUAGAAGAGCCUUAAUUUCCACCAAUUGCAUUACUGUUAAACCAAAGGGACAGGCACCAUCAGCCAUCAAGGCACACCAAAGCCAGUUGAACUGUACAGACACCAGGGCCACAGCAGCUGUUCCACCAUUCCUUACUCCCAUCCAUGGUAUCUGUAUGAACUUGGCACAGGGUCAGAGGUAGAACGAGGAGACCAUGUCUUGACCCAGUCCAGGCUAUGACAGACCACUGGUACUGUCUUCGCUGGUACUGAUGUCAAAGGAUGUGGUAGAUUGGGUCUGAAAGUGAAGGAAGUGCAGUUCAAAUUGACAGUGCUACUACCACAGGAAACGGACAGUGUUACCAUGACUACACUAACACAAGAAAUAAAGCAUAGCUGGUGCUUCAAACACAUCUCAUCCCUGACUGGACGUAAACGCAUCAUAUAAUAUAUCCACCAAUCGAAAUAAUGGGAUUAAUAUUUUGCUAUUUACAGCAGUAAGAAACAUAAGGAAUGGCCGCGUUGUGAAAUAUAUUGUGCAUCGUUUGUGGAGUUAAUAUGAACCUAUGCCUUAAUGUUCCAUCAAAACAUAUUUCUGAAUCAUGGAGGGUGUGAAAGGGAGUUGUUCUGAGCUCAAUAAAUUGUUGUGAAACCCC
Salmo salar (Atlantic salmon) is the source of this 1414-nucleotide long non-coding RNA. RefSeq lists it as uncharacterized. The record is from RefSeq and is a predicted model, not a curated record. Lineage: Eukaryota; Metazoa; Chordata; Actinopteri; Salmoniformes; Salmonidae.